UACGUAGGCAGCGAGCGUUGUUCGGAUUUACUGGGCGUAAAGGGUGUGUAGGCGGUUCUUUAAGUUUGGUGUGAAAUCUCCCGGCUCAACCGGGAGGGUGCGUCGAAUACUGAGGGACUAGAGUACGGGAGAGGAAAGUGGAAUUCCUGGUGUAGCGGUGAAAUGCGUAGAUAUCAGGAGGAACACCGGUGGUGUAGACGGCUUUCUGGACCGUAACUGACGCUGAGACACGAAAGCGUGGGUAGCAAACAGG
Molecule: ribosomal RNA, 253 nt
Filed under: uncultured bacterium
Lineage: Bacteria
Description: partial 16S ribosomal RNA
Rfam family: Bacterial small subunit ribosomal RNA
Source: RNAcentral